UGUGUAGGUGGCGCGCUAAGUCGGGUGUGAAAUUUCGGAGCUUAACUCCGAAACUGCAUUCGAUACUGGCGUGCUUGAGGACUGGAGAGGAGACUGGAAUUUACGGUGUAGCAGUGAAAUGCGUAGAUAUCGUAAGGAAGACCAGUGGCGAAGGCGGGUCUCUGGACAGUUCCUGACACUGGGACACGAAGGCCAGGGGAGCAAACG
Molecule: ribosomal RNA, 207 nt
Filed under: uncultured bacterium
Lineage: Bacteria
Description: partial 16S ribosomal RNA
Rfam family: Bacterial small subunit ribosomal RNA
Source: RNAcentral